CGAAAAGGAACGAAGCCUAAGAACACCACAUCGUGUGGCAACGCCUUCGUGACCAACAUCCUGUUGG
Molecule: small RNA, 67 nt
Filed under: Paenisporosarcina sp. OV554
Lineage: Bacteria; Bacillati; Bacillota; Bacilli; Caryophanales; Caryophanaceae
Description: Bacillaceae-1 RNA
Rfam family: Bacillaceae-1 RNA
Source: RNAcentral